This 423-nucleotide ribosomal RNA is filed under the name uncultured bacterium. RNAcentral describes it as "bacterial SSU rRNA". It matches the Rfam family "Bacterial small subunit ribosomal RNA", at positions 355 to 775 of the family's 1533-position model. The record is from RNAcentral.
UAAGGAAUAUUGGUCAAUGGGCGGAAGCCUGAACCAGCCAUGCCGCGUGCAGGAAGACGGCCCUACGGGUUGUAAACUGCUUUUAUACGGGAAUAAACCUUGAUACGUGUAUCGAGCUGAAUGUACUGUAAGAAUAAGGAUCGGCUAACUCCGUGCCAGCAGCCGCGGUAAUACGGAGGAUCCAAGCGUUAUCCGGAUUUAUUGGGUUUAAAGGGUGCGUAGGUGGCCUGGUAAGUCAGGGGUGAAAGACGGUAGCUUAACUAUCGCAGUGCCUUUGAUACUGCCGGGCUUGAAUGAACUAGAGGUAGGCGGAAUGUGACAAGUAGCGGUGAAAUGCAUAGAUAUGUCACAGAACACCGAUUGCGAAGGCAGCUUACUAUGGUUUUAUUGACACUGAGGCACGAAAGCGUGGGGAUCAAACAG